GCAUCAUUCCCUGGGAGCGUGAGGCAGCCAUUCAGGUUGGAAACCACUUGGAUUGUGCCCUGUGCUGUGGGAUUCCUGCCCAUGGAGAACAUUCCUUGGGGUGUGUCUGUGCCCUGCCUUCACCUGCAGCCCCUCAGAGCCCAAGUGUUCAUCAUGCCAUGCCCCACACAGCACCUUGCUCAGCCCUGCACACCUGAAAGCACUCAGGGACUCCUAAAACAAGCUGCUUGUUGGGUUGCUAGGGAGUGGCAGCAGGAAAGCUCCCUUUGGAGUGGGAUUACGGGAUAUAAACCACGCACCUACGCAAACCUCCUCGUGUAAUUUCCCUGAUUUAUUUGUUUGAGCUUCUUGCACCUUCAGGUGUGGAGCAUUAUCUGCUGUUCCUGUAAAAGGGGAAUGUUCUUGCUCCCUUCUUUGUUGGCAGCUGGAGGAAAACCUGUGGUUAUGGAAGGUGGCAGAGCAGAGCUUUGGGAACAAAAUGAACUGCACUGGGAUUGCUGCUCCUUUCAAACUGCUAAAAGAUGCCAUGGAAUACAGUGGGGAUUUAGAGCUGUUAUAGUCCCUGAUUGCCCCACAACAGACAGAAAUUUCCAAGAGGAAUUUUAAUCCAGUGGUUGGUGCUUCCAGGCUCCUAGUUCUGCUGGAAUAUUUGGAGGGAGAAUUACUCACACUGUGGCUUCCUGAGGUUGGAAGUUCUGCCCCAUUCAGAGGAGUUGCAUUGCCCUGGAGUGCUUCAUUCAGGAUAAGUGCCAGCAGCUGAGACAGCUUCUGCUUCACUUUCACUUGGGCAAGAAGGGAGAAAGGAAAUUCACUGGGAAUACUUGGAAUGCAAUCCUGCAGUCUCAUGGCAAAUUCUGACUCCUGGUCAGCUGCAGUGGCCCUGGAGGAUUUCUCCAGAGAUUCCUCAAAGCAGCAGCAGCCGUGGCCAUCCAAGGAGAGCUGAAGCAUCAGGGCACUGUGUGUUCCCAGGGGGACAGGAGAGCCUGAGCAGGGAGCCUGCACUGAAAUCCUGGGGCUCACAGCAUUGCUCUGGGGAGGACAGCCAGUCCUUGUUCCACUCUCCAUCUGACCUUCACUCGAGGCAGGGGGUCAGGAUUGCAAGCACAUCUCAGAGCAUCCUCUGGCAGCUCCUGCACUGCACUGGUGGAAUCUCUUCUUUAGUGGCACCAGGAAGAAGCAGCAGGAAAUACAGAGUGAAGUUCUUCCACACAAGCUGCUGCCAGACCACUGUCCACUGUAUCUGGAGAAUCCCUACAUCCUCAGUCCAGACAGGAUCUGAGCCUGGGCCAGCAGGAAUCUUUUACUGGCUGCUGCCUUUGUGCUUUGGAGCCCUGCAGAAGGGUUUGUCUCCCGUCACGUGA
RNAcentral lists this long non-coding RNA (1361 nucleotides) under Taeniopygia guttata (zebra finch). RNAcentral describes it as "lncRNA (ENSTGUG00000027692.1)". The record is from RNAcentral. Lineage: Eukaryota; Metazoa; Chordata; Aves; Passeriformes; Estrildidae.